UUUCCGUAGGUGAACCUGCGGAAGGAUCAUUAUUGAUUGGUCGAAAGACCUUAUCAGAUUCUACCACCUCUGUGAACCGUUGACCUCCGGGUUAAUAAUCAAACAUCAGUGUAACGAACGUAAGAGUAUCUUAAUUAAACAAAACUUUUAACAACGGAUCUCUUGGCUCUC
RNAcentral lists this unclassified non-coding RNA (171 nucleotides) under Papiliotrema flavescens. RNAcentral describes it as "partial contains small subunit ribosomal RNA, internal transcribed spacer 1, and 5.8S ribosomal RNA". The record is from RNAcentral. Lineage: Eukaryota; Fungi; Basidiomycota; Tremellomycetes; Tremellales; Rhynchogastremaceae. RNAcentral also lists the same sequence under 1 other name.